RNAcentral lists this ribosomal RNA (304 nucleotides) under uncultured Crater Lake bacterium CL500-58. RNAcentral describes it as "bacterial SSU rRNA". It matches the Rfam family "Bacterial small subunit ribosomal RNA", at positions 326 to 642 of the family's 1533-position model. The record is from RNAcentral.
ACGGUCCAGACUCCUACGGGAGGCAGCAGUGGGGAAUAUUGGGCAAUGGAGGAAACUCUGACCCAGCGACGCCGCGUGCGGGAUGAAGGCCUUCGGGUUGUAAACCGCUUUCAGCAGGGAAGAAGCGAAAGUGACGGCACCUGCAGAAGAAGCACCGGCUAACUAUGUGCCAGCAGCCGCGGUAAUACAUAGGGUGCAAGCGUUGUCCGGAAUUAUUGGGCGUAAAGAGCUCGUAGGUGGUUCGUCACGUCGGAUGUGAAACUCUGGGGCUUAACCCCAGACCUGCAUUCGAUACGGGCGAGCU